GUACUCACUUCUGCAGCACAUCUACUAAAACUGGAACAAAUACAGAAAAGGUUAGCAUGACCCCUGUGCAAGCAUAACAUGCAAAUCUAUGAAACAUUAAGAAAAAAU
This is a small nuclear RNA of Heterocephalus glaber (naked mole-rat), 108 nucleotides long. The record is from Ensembl. Lineage: Eukaryota; Metazoa; Chordata; Mammalia; Rodentia; Bathyergidae.